GAUGAACGCUGGCGGCGUGCUUAACACAUGCAAGUCGAACGGUGAAGGCGGAGCUUGCUCUGCUGGACCAGUGGCGAACGGGUGAGUAACACGUGAGCAAUCUGCCCCUGACUCUGGGAUAAGCGCUGGAAACGGCGUCUAAUACUGGAUACGAGCUGCGAAGGCAUCUUCAGCAGCUGGAAAGAAUUUCGGUCAGGGAUGAGCUCGCGGCCUAUCAGCUUGUUGGUGAGGUAAUGGCUCACCAAGGCGUCGACGGGUAGCCGGCCUGAGAGGGUGACCGGCCACACUGGGACUGAGACACGGCCCAGACUCCUACGGGAGGCAGCAGUGGGGAAUAUUGCACAAUGGGCGAAAGCCUGAUGCAGCAACGCCGCGUGAGGGACGACGGCCUUCGGGUUGUAAACCUCUUUUAGCAGGGAAGAAGCGAAAGUGACGGUACCUGCAGAAAAAGCGCCGGCUAACUACGUG
This 468-nucleotide ribosomal RNA is filed under the name uncultured bacterium. Its description in RNAcentral is "partial 16S ribosomal RNA". It matches the Rfam family "Bacterial small subunit ribosomal RNA", at positions 28 to 507 of the family's 1533-position model. The record is from RNAcentral.